Macaca mulatta (Rhesus monkey) is the source of this 2046-nucleotide long non-coding RNA. RefSeq lists it as uncharacterized. NCBI's taxonomy places the organism in Eukaryota, Metazoa, Chordata, Mammalia, Primates, Cercopithecidae. The record is from RefSeq and is a predicted model, not a curated record.
GACAUACGCAUAGGUAAAGAGAUAAUCAUUUGCAGAGGGAUGGGAUGAACAAUGCUAACAGUGUGGGAAGUGAUCAAGAACAUGCUAGAGGGCCUGGUUACCGAGUGGAAACGAAGAAACUAAAAUUUAUUGAAUUCGUAUGCUGAGAUAAGAGAUGGGUGGUGGUAGCAGGCUGCCUGGAUAUGGAUCAGAAAACUCAUCGCCAUCAACCAGCAGGGUGAGAAGAACAGACAGGGGCCUUGGCAUCAUGCAGUCUCUGGACACUGGCAGCCCCCAGUGCCUCUGCAGAUCCCUGGAUUAUCAGAGAUUUAAAAUAUUGCUAACACCAACUGCUGAAGAUGAUGUGGAGAAUUCAGCACUGUCAUACAGAGCCGGGAGGAGCAUCGUUUGAUGGCACGACCUUUCUGGAGGAAAAAUAGCAAAAUCUACAAAGGUCAUCAGCCGAGAAAUGCCACUUCUGGAAGUUUAUCAGAAAACAUCACUAAGUUUCAUGCAUAAGAAUACUAAUUGUUGAGUUUCCUGUACUUUGAAAAAUUUAGAAAUAACCUAAAUAGGUUAAUGGUAUGGGAUUAAAAUGCAGUACUCUCUAAUACUAGGCAUAAAAUGCAACAUUCACGCAAAAUACCUAGUAAAUUAUUCACAUGCUAUUACCCAAAUACAAAAAUGGGCUACAACAUGGUGGUCUAUAACAUAAUCAAAUUUUUACAUAAAAGAGUAUAUUGCUUGCAUAGAAAAUGCUUGGAAUGAAAAUAAAACUGUGUGUGUAUAUAUGCACACAUGCACAUAUAUACGUAUAUGAGAGCAAGAGACGGAGAGAGAUUGAUCAUCACUCUUAACCCAUGGCAAUUUAGCUCUUCAAUCAGUGGACAUUAGGCAGUAUCUGAGGACAUAUUUUGUUUGUCACAACUGAACAGGGUGGUAAUAAUAGCAUCUAACAGGUAGGGGCAGGGAUGCUGUUAAAUAUCCUACAAUGCACAGGACAGCUCCACACAACAAGUAAUUAUCUGUACCAAAAUAUUAAUAAUGCUGAAGUUAAGAAACCUUGAUACAUGUGAAUAUAUAUCUAUAUUUAUAGUACUUAUGAGAACAUUCUAUGUUUGACUUGUCUUUGCUCCUUUAUAUUUUUCUGUGGUUUAAGUGUUUUUGAAAAUAGCACUAGAUUAUUUUCAGAAUCAGAAAAGUUAAUAAAAUGAUAUCUAAUUAGGGGAGGUGGCCCUUAAAGAGUCACAUUCUUCUUGCCUCUUAAUUCUUGACUAACCUUUCUCCUCCUUUUUUUGAAUGGCUAUAAUACUUCUAGUUGGUAUCACAUCACUUAAGAUAAUUGUAAUUCAUUUGGUUUUAUUAUGGUAUACUUUUCUGUGUAUUCAUCUCAACUCUCCAGCUAAAUUCAGGAACCACAAACAAUUUGAGGGGAGGAUUCAUGCUUUCCAGUUGCCCAUCCUAGAGCCCAAUAUAUGGGAAAUUCUUGGUACUUACCAAGGAAAGCAUGGAAUAAAGGAAGGAAAAAGCAAAGAGAGAAAAGAAGGGAGGGGGGAAGAAAGAAGAAAAGGCUACUGACUUUAUAAAUCUUUAUACUUUGCCCUGCCCUUUCCUGCCCUGCACCUGGCUCAGGGCAGCCCACAGAACAGGCACCGUUACAUGGGGGUAGAGGGAGUAAUGUGGUAUAGCAGAAAUGGCACUGGCUUUGGGGUUAGAGAAGUGGAUUUAAAGUUUGCUCUUGCAACUCACUAUUUUAUUUUUAUUUAUUUUUAAUUUAGCAAAUACAGUGCUUCCUACUUGCCAAGCACUGUUCUAAACCUUGCAAAUAUUUCUUGUGUUAUACUGGACAAAUGCAUGAAGUUUCCAGAGACCUGACUCUUCAUCUUUAAAAUGGGAACAAUAGUACCUUGCAUGGUUGUUGUAAAGUUUAGAGGUGAUAAUGUAUAUAAAGUGCUAGGGAUGGUGCGUAAUGCAUGGUAGGCGAUCAAUACAUGGAGUGAUUUUCAUCAUUAUCAUUGUCAUUGUUUCCAUAACUCUGAUCACUCAAUAAAGUCUUUCAGAUGAUAA